RNAcentral lists this ribosomal RNA (468 nucleotides) under uncultured bacterium. Its description in RNAcentral is "partial 16S ribosomal RNA". It matches the Rfam family "Bacterial small subunit ribosomal RNA", at positions 28 to 507 of the family's 1533-position model. The record is from RNAcentral.
GACGAACGCUGGCGGCGUGCUUAACACAUGCAAGUCGAACGGAAAGGCCCUGCUUUUGUGGGGUGCUCGAGUGGCGAACGGGUGAGUAACACGUGAGUAACCUGCCCUUGACUUUGGGAUAACUUCAGGAAACUGGGGCUAAUACCGGAUAGGAGCUCCUGCUGCAUGGUGGGGGUUGGAAAGUUUCGGCGGUUGGGGAUGGACUCGCGGCUUAUCAGCUUGUUGGUGGGGUAGUGGCUUACCAAGGCUUUGACGGGUAGCCGGCCUGAGAGGGUGACCGGCCACAUUGGGACUGAGAUACGGCCCAGACUCCUACGGGAGGCAGCAGUGGGGAAUAUUGCACAAUGGGGGGAAGCCUGAUGCAGAAACGCCGCGUGCGGGAUGACGGCCUUCGGGUUGUAAACCGAUUUCGCCUGUGACGAAGCGUGAGUGACGGUAACGGGUAAAGAAGCACCGGCUAACUACGUG